This 541-nucleotide ribosomal RNA is filed under the name uncultured archaeon. RNAcentral's name for it is "bacterial SSU rRNA". It matches the Rfam family "Archaeal small subunit ribosomal RNA", at positions 458 to 997 of the family's 1478-position model. The record is from RNAcentral.
CCAGCCGCCGCGGUAACACCGGCGGCCCGAGUGGUGAUCGUGAUUAUUGGGUCUAAAGGGUCCGUAGCCGGUUUGGUCAGUCCUCCGGGAAAUCUGAUAGCUCAACUAUUAGGCUUUCGGGGGAUACUGCCAGACUUGGAACCGGGAGAGGUAAGAGGUACUACAGGGGUAGGAGUGAAAUCUUGUAAUCCCUGUGGGACCACCUGUGGCGAAGGCGUCUUACCAGAACGGGUUCGACGGUGAGGGACGAAAGCUGGGGGCACGAACCGGAUUAGAUACCCGGGUAGUCCCAGCCGUAAACGAUGCUCGCUAGGUGUCAGGCAUGGCGCGACCGUGUCUGGUGCCGCAGGGAAGCCGUGAAGCGAGCCACCUGGGAAGUACGGCCGCAAGGCUGAAACUUAAAGGAGUUGGCGGGGGAGCACAACAACGGGUGGAGCCCUGCGGUUUAAUUGGACUCAACGCCGGACAACUCACCGGGGGCGACAGCAAUAUGUAGGCCAAGCUGAAGACUUUGCCUGAAUCGCUGAGGAGUGGUGCAUGG